This 1808-nucleotide long non-coding RNA is filed under the name Homo sapiens (human). RNAcentral's name for it is "HSALNT0292930". The record is from RNAcentral. Lineage: Eukaryota; Metazoa; Chordata; Mammalia; Primates; Hominidae.
GCGACAGAGUGAGACUCCAUCUGAAAAAAAAAAAAAAAACCCCGAAGGAAAACUAGCUGAUUAGAUGAUUAGACUAUAACUAGCUAUACAAUGAAACAUUACACAGCCACUAAAAAUGUUUAAUGAUGCUGAUUGACAUUAAAAAGGUGUUCAAGAAAUGGUACUAAGUGAAAAAUACAAGUUAGAAACUAUAUCAUCCCUUUUUUGCUUAAAAUUUUAACAUACAGAUAAGUGUGCACACACAUACACAUACAAAAUAAAGGAUAUCCACCAAAACAGUGCUUCUCACUCGAUGAUAGUAUUAAGGGAGAUUUAUGUUUUCUUCCUCUUGCUUAUCCAUGUUUUCUACUACUUCUAUCAUAAACAUGCAUUAUUUUAUGUAAUAUUUUAAAGUUAAAAAGUUUUAAAUUCGAUAGCCACAUUCAGGUCUAAAAUGCAGCACAAAAUCUUUAUGCCAUAUGACUCAUACUCAAUGGACUAUAAUUGUAAGCAGCCUGAUAUUAUCAGUAAUAAAACUCCUGAUUGGCUGCCCUGCCUAUGGAGUAGCCAUUCUUUUGUUUCUCUACUUCUAAAAACAAAAGAAAACAAGAAAACUCCGGAUGUAUUAAAAAGCACCUCAGCAUGGCCGUACUGCCUUACUGCCUCUGGGAUAAACCAAGUAACUGAUUGCUUAUGGUCACCACAAGCAUCAGUGUAAAGGUGUGCCUCAUGUGUACGGCAGCAAAAAAAAAAGCCAUACUGGGACAACCUUUAAGAAGGGUGCCCAGUCAGCCAGAGACAUGAGUGUUAUCCAGGAAGUAGAGGAUAUGCAUGGAGGCACACAUACACACAAAUACACAUCAUCCAGUAACUGACAAACAGCAAGAACUUAAAUGCCAAAACUUCUGUUUUUCUUUAUACAUUUUAAUUGUUUUGAAUGUCUUUCUCCCUGCCUUCUUAAAGUACACUGACUGAAACUAGAUUUAGGGCAUCAUCAUAAACAUGUAUUAUUACAUCUUAUGAUACACUGUUACGCAUCAUAAAUCUGUAUUAUUAUGUUUAUGUAUUAUGUUCUUAUUCAGUGUUGCCCUUACGGCUGUUUAAUAGACCCUGUAUCUUUUUCUUCUUCUCCAGUAUUUCUGUCUUUUACAAUCUGACUGUUUCUCUUGUUAGCUGACCUUUUAUACUGCUGCACACCGCUCUGCAUUCAAAGCCAGAUGACAACAAGCACCAAAUUACCAUUAAGUACAUCUGUGAAGCAGGCAGAAGCAGGCAGAGCUCAAUUUCAUAGACAAGAAAACCAAAAGGAUGAGGCCAUUAACAAGUCAUUUUCUGAAGGUCCACAUGAAAGAAUGAAAUUUUACUUGGAGAUUGGACUUGUAAAACAGGACUGGACUGAUAAUAUUUUCUUCCACCUAUACUACAGGAAUGUGAUGAAGGUAAAUGAGUCAAUUCAAGAAGUACACUGGAACUCCUGGAUGGAAAACAUAUGUCUGGCAGAAUGUGUGGCAUUAGUAAAUACAUAUAUGCAUGCCCUGGGCUGAUUAAAAUGUUGUAGAAGACUUCUAGCAUCAUUAUAAUUUUCUAGGUCUGUGGGUAUACAUUUUCCUCAUGUAUUUUAAAACUAAAACUUAAGAAAAAUGGGAAAAGCUUUAAUAACCUAAUAGAAUAUCUAAGUUAUGGCAUUUGUGACAUAUCUUAUGUGAGGCCAAUUAAAGCAAUGUUAUUGUUCAUUAUUCGAAAAGGCAAGCAAAUGUUUCAUAGUCAUUUUCCUCACCUCACAGAAGAGGAGACAUGCUUUUCUUUAGCAGCAUGCAAAAUUAAGGAAC